GCUGGCGUAGCUCAAUUGGCAGAGCAGCGGUUUUGUAAACCGCAGGUUGCGGGUUCGAGUCCCAUCGCCAGCUCCA
Molecule: transfer RNA, 76 nt
Filed under: Sulfobacillus acidophilus
Lineage: Bacteria; Bacillati; Bacillota; Clostridia; Eubacteriales; Clostridiales Family XVII. Incertae Sedis
Description: tRNA-Thr
Rfam family: tRNA
About the family: Transfer RNA (tRNA) molecules are approximately 80 nucleotides in length. Their secondary structure includes four short double-helical elements and three loops (D, anti-codon, and T loops).
Source: RNAcentral